GGAAUAUUGGACAAUGGGCGAAAGCCUGAUCCAGCAAUGCCGCGUGAGUGAUGAAGGCCUUAGGGUUGUAAAGCUCUUUCGGCGGGGACGAUGAUGACGGUACCCGCAGAAGAAGCCCCGGCUAACUCCGUGCCAGCAGCCGCGGUAAUACGGAGGGGGCAAGCGUUAAUCGGAAUUACUGGGCGUAAAGCGCGCGUAGGCGGCUUUGUAAGUCGGAUGUGAAAGCCCUGGGCUUAACCUGGGAAUUGCAUUCGAUACUGCAUGGCUAGAGUAUGGUAGAGGGAAGUGGAAUUUCCGGUGUAGCGGUGAAAUGCGUAGAUAUCGGAAGGAACACCAGUGGCGAAGGCGACUUCCUGGGCCAAUACUGACGCUGAGGUGCGAAAGCGUGGGGAGCAAA
This 397-nucleotide ribosomal RNA is filed under the name uncultured bacterium. Its description in RNAcentral is "bacterial SSU rRNA". It matches the Rfam family "Bacterial small subunit ribosomal RNA", at positions 358 to 772 of the family's 1533-position model. The record is from RNAcentral.